This 440-nucleotide ribosomal RNA is filed under the name uncultured bacterium. Its description in RNAcentral is "partial 16S ribosomal RNA". It matches the Rfam family "Bacterial small subunit ribosomal RNA", at positions 338 to 795 of the family's 1533-position model. The record is from RNAcentral.
CCUACGGGAGGCAGCAGUGGGGAAUAUUGCACAAUGGGGGAAACCCUGAUGCAGCGACGCCGCGUGAGUGAAGAAGUAUUUCGGUACGUAAAGCUCUAUCAGCAGGGGAGCAAAUGACGGUACCUGACUAAGAAGCCCCGGCUAACUACGUGCCAGCAUCCGCUGUAAUCCGUAGGGGGCCAGCGUUAUCCGGGUUUACUGGGGGUAAAGGGGGCGUUGACGGCAUCACAAGGCGGGAGGGAAAUCGCAUGGCUUAACCAUGGAACUGCUUUGGAAACUGUGCAGCUAGAGUGCAGGAGAGGUAAGCGGAAUGCGUAGUGUAGCGGUGAAAUGCGUAGAUAUUAGGAGGAACACCAGUGGCGAAGGCGGCUUACUGGACUGUGACUGACGUUGAGGCUCGAAAGCGUGGGGAGCAAACAGGAUUAGAUACCCUGGUAGUC